Molecule: ribosomal RNA, 1949 nt
Filed under: Salmonella enterica
Lineage: Bacteria; Pseudomonadati; Pseudomonadota; Gammaproteobacteria; Enterobacterales; Enterobacteriaceae
Description: partial 23S ribosomal RNA
Rfam family: Bacterial large subunit ribosomal RNA
Source: RNAcentral
AGACCCGAAACCCGGUGAUCUAGCCAUGGGCAGGUUGAAGGUUGGGUAACACUAACUGGAGGACCGAACCGACUAAUGUUGAAAAAUUAGCGGAUGACCUGUGGCUGGGGGUGAAAGGCCAAUCAAACCGGGAGAUAGCUGGUUCUCCCCGAAAGCUAUUUAGGUAGCGCCUCGUGAACUCAUCUCCGGGGGUAGAGCACUGUUUCGGCUAGGGGGCCAUCCCGGCUUACCAACCCGAUGCAAACUGCGAAUACCGGAGAAUGUUAUCACGGGAGACACACGGCGGGUGCUAACGUCCGUCGUGAAGAGGGAAACAACCCAGACCGCCAGCUAAGGUCCCAAAGUCAUGGUUAAGUGGGAAACGAUGUGGGAAGGCCCAGACAGCCAGGAUGUUGGCUUAGAAGCAGCCAUCAUUUAAAGAAAGCGUAAUAGCUCACUGGUCGAGUCGGCCUGCGCGGAAGAUGUAACGGGGCUAAACCAUGCACCGAAGCUGCGGCAGCGACACUUUAGUGUUGUUGGGUAGGGGAGCGUUCUGUAAGCCGUUGAAGGUGUCCUGUGAGGGGUGCUGGAGGUAUCAGAAGUGCGAAUGCUGACAUAAGUAACGAUAAAGCGGGUGAAAAGCCCGCUCGCCGGAAGACCAAGGGUUCCUGUCCAACGUUAAUCGGGGCAGGGUGAGUCGACCCCUAAGGCGAGGCCGAAAGGCGUAGUCGAUGGGAAACGGGUUAAUAUUCCCGUACUUGGUGUUACUGCGAAGGGGGGACGGAGAAGGCUAUGUUGGCCGGGCGACGGUUGUCCCGGUUUAAGCGUGUAGGUGUGUGUUCCAGGUAAAUCCGGUUCACUUUAACACUGAGGCGUGAUGACGAGGCACCACGGUGCUGAAGCAACAAAUGCCCUGCUUCCAGGAAAAGCCUCUAAGCAUCAGGUAACAUCAAAUCGUACCCCAAACCGACACAGGUGGUCAGGUAGAGAAUACCAAGGCGCUUGAGAGAACUCGGGUGAAGGAACUAGGCAAAAUGGUGCCGUAACUUCGGGAGAAGGCACGCUGACACGUAGGUGAAGUGAUUUACUCAUGGAGCUGAAGUCAGUCGAAGAUACCAGCUGGCUGCAACUGUUUAUUAAAAACACAGCACUGUGCAAACACGAAAGUGGACGUAUACGGUGUGACGCCUGCCCGGUGCCGGAAGGUUAAUUGAUGGGGUCAGCGCAAGCGAAGCUCCUGAUCGAAGCCCCGGUAAACGGCGGCCGUAACUAUAACGGUCCUAAGGUAGCGAAAUUCCUUGUCGGGUAAGUUCCGACCUGCACGAAUGGCGUAAUGAUGGCCAGGCUGUCUCCACCCGAGACUCAGUGAAAUUGAACUCGCUGUGAAGAUGCAGUGUACCCGCGGCAAGACGGAAAGACCCCGUGAACCUUUACUAUAGCUUGACACUGAACAUUGAGCCUUGAUGUGUAGGAUAGGUGGGAGGCUUUGAAGCGUGGACGCCAGUCUGCGUGGAGCCGACCUUGAAAUACCACCCUUUAAUGUUUGAUGUUCUAACGUGGACCCGUAAUCCGGGUUGCGGACAGUGUCUGGUGGGUAGUUUGACUGGGGCGGUCUCCUCCUAAAGAGUAACGGAGGAGCACGAAGGUUGGCUAAUCCUGGUCGGACAUCAGGAGGUUAGUGCAAUGGCAUAAGCCAGCUUGACUGCGAGCGUGACGGCGCGAGCAGGUGCGAAAGCAGGUCAUAGUGAUCCGGUGGUUCUGAAUGGAAGGGCCAUCGCUCAACGGAUAAAAGGUACUCCGGGGAUAACAGGCUGAUACCGCCCAAGAGUUCAUAUCGACGGCGGUGUUUGGCACCUCGAUGUCGGCUCAUCACAUCCUGGGGCUGAAGUAGGUCCCAAGGGUAUGGCUGUUCGCCAUUUAAAGUGGUACGCGAGCUGGGUUUAGAACGUCGUGAGACAGUUCGGUCCCUA